AGGACGAACGCUGGCGGCGUGCUUAACACAUGCAAGUCGAGCGGAAAGGCCCUUUGGGGUACUCGAGCGGCGAACGGUGAGUAACACGUGAGUAAUCUGCCCUUCACUCUGGGAUAGCCCUCCGAAAGGGGGAUUAAUACCGGAUACGACGCGCUCCUGCAUGGGGGUGUGUGGAAACUUUUUGGGUGGGGGAUGUGCUCGCGGCCUAUCAGCUUGUUGGUGGGUAAUGGCCUACCAAGGCUUCGACGGGGUAGCCGGCCUGAGAGGGU
Molecule: ribosomal RNA, 269 nt
Filed under: uncultured soil bacterium
Lineage: Bacteria
Description: partial 16S ribosomal RNA
Rfam family: Bacterial small subunit ribosomal RNA
Source: RNAcentral